RNAcentral lists this ribosomal RNA (498 nucleotides) under uncultured bacterium. RNAcentral's name for it is "partial 16S ribosomal RNA". It matches the Rfam family "Bacterial small subunit ribosomal RNA", at positions 28 to 507 of the family's 1533-position model. The record is from RNAcentral.
GACGAACGCUGGCGGCGUGCCUAAUACAUGCAAGUCGAACGAGAGCGACCGGUGCUUGCACUGGUCAAUCUAGUGGCGAACGGGUGAGUAACACGUGGGUAACCUGCCCAUCAGAGGGGGAUAACAUCCGGAAACGGAUGCUAAAACCGCAUAGGUCUUCGAGCCGCAUGGCUUGAAGAGGAAAAGAGGCGCAAGCUUCUGCUGAUGGAUGGACCCGCGGUGCAUUAGCUAGUUGGUGAGGUAACGGCUCACCAAGGCCGUGAUGCAUAGCCGACCUGAGAGGGUGAUCGGCCACAUUGGGACUGAGACGCGGCCCAAACUCCUACGGGAGGCAGCAGUAGGGAAUCUUCCGCAAUGGACGCAAGUCUGACGGAGCAACGCCGCGUGAGUGAAGAAGGUUUUCGGGUCGUAAAACUCUGUUGUUAGAGAAGAACAAGUGCUAGAGUAACUGUUAGCGCCUUGACGGUAUCUAACCAGAAAGCCACGGCUAACUACGUG